AUGGCGUUCAACGGCGCCCAGAUGCUCGCUGCCUUCACCCUGGGCAUUCUCCUCAUGGCCUUCUGUGCGGAGGCUCGGGUAUGCAUGUCCCCUAGCAAGUGGUACAAAGGGGACCCUUGCAAGAACCUGCGUUGCACCAAGGCUUGUCACAAAGAACACUUCAAGGGUGGGUUUUGCUCCAGUAAAAAGUCGAUCGUUGAUGACGAGCUCAAUGAAGACAAUGGCGACAACAGCUUUGGCAAACGGCCUAAGAAAAAAUCGAAAAAAUCGUGCAUGUGUACAUUCCCAUGCGGUCAAACCCCACCACCACCGUCGGAACCUGAUGUGCCAGAGCCGCCCGAAGUGCCAGUGCCCGGGCCACCGCCGAGGGCCGGCCAUAUUUAUUGA
Molecule: ribosomal RNA, 387 nt
Filed under: Triticum aestivum (bread wheat)
Lineage: Eukaryota; Viridiplantae; Streptophyta; Magnoliopsida; Poales; Poaceae
Description: partial small subunit ribosomal RNA
Source: RNAcentral